UGGGGAAUUUUGGACAAUGGGCGAAAGCCUGAUCCAGCAAUGCCGCGUGUGUGAAGAAGGCCUUCGGGUUGUAAAGCACUUUUGUCCGGAAAGAAAUCCUCUGGGUUAAUACCUCGGGGGGAUGACGGUACCGGAAGAAUAAGCACCGGCUAACUACGUGCCAGCAGCCGCGGUAAUACGUAGGGUGCAAGCGUUAAUCGGAAUUACUGGGCGUAAAGCGUGCGCAGGCGGUUUUGUAAGACGGAUGUGAAAUCCCCGGGCUUAACCUGGGAACUGCAUUCGUGACUGCAAGGCUAGAGUAUGGCAGAGGGGGGUAGAAUUCCACGUGUAGCAGUGAAAUGCGUAGAGAUGUGGAGGAAUACCGAUGGCGAAGGCAGCCCCCUGGGCCAAUACUGACGCUCAUGCACGAAAGCGUGGGGAGCAAACAGGAUUAGAUACCCUGGUAGUCCACGCCCUAAAACGAUGUCAACUAGUUGUUGGGGGAUUCAUUUCCUUAGUAACGUAGCUAACGCGUGAAGUUGACCGCCUGGGGAGUACGGUCGCAAGAUUAAAACUUAAAGGAAUUGACGGGGUCAUAGCUGUUUCCU
Molecule: ribosomal RNA, 587 nt
Filed under: uncultured bacterium
Lineage: Bacteria
Description: partial 16S ribosomal RNA
Rfam family: Bacterial small subunit ribosomal RNA
Source: RNAcentral